This 253-nucleotide ribosomal RNA is filed under the name uncultured bacterium. RNAcentral describes it as "partial 16S ribosomal RNA". It matches the Rfam family "Bacterial small subunit ribosomal RNA", at positions 524 to 776 of the family's 1533-position model. The record is from RNAcentral.
UACGUAGGUGGCAAGCGUUGUCCGGAUUUACUGGGCGUAAAGAGCGCGCAGGCGGUUGGAUAAGUCGAAUGUGAAAGCCCCCGGCUCAACUGGGGAGGGUCAUUCGAUACUGUCCGACUCGAAGGCAGGAGAGGGAAGCGGAAUUCCCGGUGUAGUGGUGAAAUGCGUAGAUAUCGGGAGGAACACCAGUGGCGAAGGCGGCUUUCUGGCCUGUUCUUGACGCUGAGGCGCGAAAGCGUGGGGAGCAAACAGG